RNAcentral lists this ribosomal RNA (389 nucleotides) under uncultured bacterium. Its description in RNAcentral is "bacterial SSU rRNA". It matches the Rfam family "Bacterial small subunit ribosomal RNA", at positions 107 to 507 of the family's 1533-position model. The record is from RNAcentral.
UGAGUAACGCGUGGGUAACCUGCCUUAUACCGGGGGAUAACACUUAGAAAUAGGUGCUAAUACCGCAUAAGCGCACGGUGUCGGCAUGACACGAGUGUGAAAAACUCCGGGUGGUAUAAGAUGGACCCGCGUCUGAUUAGCCAGUUGGCAGGGUAACGGCCUACCAAAGCGACGAUCAGUAGCCGGCCUGAGAGGGUGAACGGCCACAUUGGGACUGAGACACGGCCCCAAACUCCUACGGGAGGCAGCAGUGGGGAAUAUCGCACAAUGGGGGAAACCCUGAUGCAGCGACGCCGCGUGAGUGAAGAAGUAUUUCGGUAUGUAAAGCUCUAUCAGCAGGGAAGAAGAAAUGACGGUACCUUGACUAAGAAGCCCCGGCUAACUACGUG